This is a long non-coding RNA of Corvus hawaiiensis (hawaiian crow), 418 nucleotides long. RefSeq lists it as uncharacterized. The transcript has 3 exons. Lineage: Eukaryota; Metazoa; Chordata; Aves; Passeriformes; Corvidae. The record is from RefSeq and is a predicted model, not a curated record.
CAUUUCUUCCCAGCACUGGUAUUCCAUACUUCUUUAGCACACAAAGAGUUGAGAGGGGACACAGCUGGGACAGCUGAUACAGACUGACCAAAGGGGUAUUCCAGACCAAAUGAUGUUGAUUCACCAAUAAAAGCUGUGGAGAGAAGGCAGAAGUUGGGGACAUUCGAAGUGAUGGUUUUUGUGUUUGCAAGUAACCGUUCUGCAUGAUGGAGCCCUAUGUUCCUGGGAACGGCUGAACACCUCUCUGUCCAUGGAGACAAGAGUAACUCCUGCUGAUGAAUGUCUUGAAAAUGGCUGUUCGGGGAACAGAGGUGGACAGUGUAGAAUAAGAUUCACAAUUAAGUACAUUUUGACUGCUGGAACUGACCAAGUUGGGGGCAGCUUCUACAAUGUUCUGUAAAUGUAGUUGGAGGACGUU